RNAcentral lists this ribosomal RNA (517 nucleotides) under uncultured Alphaproteobacteria bacterium. Its description in RNAcentral is "bacterial SSU rRNA". It matches the Rfam family "Bacterial small subunit ribosomal RNA", at positions 321 to 841 of the family's 1533-position model. RNAcentral also lists the same sequence under 1 other name. The record is from RNAcentral. Lineage: Bacteria; Pseudomonadati; Pseudomonadota; Alphaproteobacteria.
GCGCCCCGCGCCCGUCCCGCCGCCCCCGCCCGCCUACGGGAGGCAGCAGUGGGGAAUCUUAGACAAUGGGCGCAAGCCUGAUCUAGCCAUGCCGCGUGAGUGAUGAAGGCCUUAGGGUCGUAAAGCUCUUUCGCCUGUGAUGAUAAUGACAGUAGCAGGUAAAGAAACCCCGGCUAACUCCGUGCCAGCAGCCGCGGUAAUACGGAGGGGGUUAGCGUUGUUCGGAAUUACUGGGCGUAAAGCGCACGUAGGCGGAUUGGAAAGUUGGGGGUGAAAUCCCGGGGCUCAACCCCGGAACUGCCUCCAAAACUAUCAGUCUAGAGUUCGAGAGAGGUGAGUGGAAUUCCAAGUGUAGAGGUGAAAUUCGUAGAUAUUUGGAGGAACACCAGUGGCGAAGGCGGCUCACUGGCUCGAUACUGACGCUGAGGUGCGAAAGUGUGGGGAGCAAACAGGAUUAGAUACCCUGGUAGUCCACACCGUAAACGAUGAAUGCCAGUCGUCGGGCAGUAUACCGUUC